UUUAGCAGUGAGGAAUAUUGGUCAAUAGCCUAACGGCUGAACCAGCAACUUGGAAGAAUGUAUAGCAAGAGCUAAUUGUAUUAACAAAAUAAAUAGUUUUUACAAUCUCGAUUUAUUCGAAUAAAAUUCUAGGUAGAUUUAUGAUAAUGACAUUAUCUAUCUAUGUGUCUUGACCAAAAUACGUGCCAGCAGUCGCGGUAAUACGUAAGAGACUAGUGUUAUUCAUCUUUAAUUGGUUUAAAGCGUACCUAGACGGUAAUUAUAGCCUAAACCAGGUACUUUUUUACUAGAGUUAUAUGUAAGGGUGUUUUAAAGUACUGUUGAGUUUAGAGAUGAAAUUCUUUGACACCAGAUAAUUGGCACAGGUAUAGGCGAAAGCAUCACUUUAUGUAAUAACUGACGUUGAGGGACGAAGGCUAUGUGUCGCGAACAGGAUUUGAUACCCUAGUAGUCUUAGCAGAAAAUUAUGAAUGUCAUAGGUUAGAUUUUAUUUGGUCUAUAAAUGAAAGUGUAAGCAUUCCACCUCAAGAGUAAUUUGGCAACAUUGGAACUGAAAUCAUUAGACCGUUUCUGAAACCAGUAGUGAAGUAUGUUGUUUAAUUUGAUGACCCGCAAAAAACCUUACCACAAUUUGAAUAUAUUUUUACAAGCGUUGCACGGCUGUCUUCAGUUAAUGUCGUGAGAUUUUGGCUAAGACCAUUUAAUUAACGUAAACCCUAACUCUAUUUUUAUAUAGAGUUUUCCACCGUAAUAAUGGAUGUGAUAAUAGGGACUAAGACAAGUCAUCAUGGCCUUAAUAUUGUGGGCUAUAGACGUGCCACAUAGC
This 826-nucleotide ribosomal RNA is filed under the name Psoroma hypnorum. RNAcentral describes it as "SSU rRNA". It matches the Rfam family "Bacterial small subunit ribosomal RNA", at positions 347 to 1233 of the family's 1533-position model. The record is from RNAcentral. Lineage: Eukaryota; Fungi; Ascomycota; Lecanoromycetes; Peltigerales; Pannariaceae.